GUAAUAAGGUCGUCCGGGUAGCCGUAGGUAACGAAAAGGGGUAGGAAUCUGCCUGGUAGUGGGGGAUAACGCUCGGAAACGGACGCUAAUACCGCAUACGUCCUACGGGAGAAAGCAGGGGACCUUCGGGCCUUGCGCUAUCAGAUGAGCCUAGGUCGGAUUAGCUAGUUGGUGGGGUAAUGGCUCACCAAGGCGACGAUCCGUAACUGGUCUGAGAGGAUGAUCAGUCACACUGGAACUGAGACACGGUCCAGACUCCUACGGGAGGCAGCAGUGGGGAAUAUUGGACAAUGGGCGAAAGCCUGAUCCAGCCAUGCCGCGUGUGUGAAGAAGGUCUUCGGAUUGUAAAGCACUUUAAGUUGGGAGGAAGGGCAGUUACCUAAUACGUAUCUGUUUUGACGUUACCGACAGAAUAAGCACCGGCUAACUCUGUGCCAGCAGCCGCGUUAAUACUUAGGGUGCAAGCGUGAAUCGCAAUUACUGAGCGUAUUCUGUGCGA
This 499-nucleotide ribosomal RNA is filed under the name Pseudomonadaceae bacterium. Its description in RNAcentral is "bacterial SSU rRNA". It matches the Rfam family "Bacterial small subunit ribosomal RNA", at positions 79 to 572 of the family's 1533-position model. Lineage: Bacteria; Pseudomonadati; Pseudomonadota; Gammaproteobacteria; Pseudomonadales; Pseudomonadaceae. The record is from RNAcentral.